AAUGAAUCACACACUCAGUCACAGGGUCGCCGUGGAUGAAUGUGCUCUCUGUUUUCCUGGAGUCUGGAGUUUACUAACUGAUGACGCAGGCUGCACUUGAUCAGAGACAUGUGUUGCUGUGGACUCUGUGCCAGUGAGAAGCAAGGAAAGGGGGAGAGGUGGAAGGACGGAUGGCGCCUAAGCCCUCUCCCUCUCUCUUUCUCUCCCUCCUGGGCAUUGCCUCACACUGAUGCUUGUGAGAUUGGGGUGGAGGGUUGUCCCGUCCCACUCUGGGAAAAAUAAACCCAGCCUUUUAGGCCAGGACAGGAAACAAGGGAUCUUCAGUGAGCAUCUUGACCUAACUCCAUCAAUUCCUUUACCAUCCUCUUCUCCAAACACACUCAGGGAGAGGGAGAAGGGAGAAAGAUUGAGGUGGAAGGCAACCAAAGAAACAUGUGAUCCACGGGUGAGAGAGAAAGUGAUUUUGGGGAUUGAAAGGAGAAAGGACGUCGAGAAAAGUGGACAAAAAAGAACUACUGUAGAAAAAAGAUGGAGAAUUUCUGGAUGAAGAGGUGGACAUCUCCAGCCAAUCCAUGCCAGUGAUAUCGUUGCCUGAGCCACUGGAGAGUAUUUCCUUUUCCUAGGUGGCAACUUUGAGGAGGGUCGUGAUAUGCCUGUAUUCUCUUUUAGCAAUACAGGGAACUGCAGCACUGAUGUGUUGUGCAUUGAAGUCCACAAGCAAAGGGAAGAGAUGAGAGGAGAAAUGCAAGAAGGAAUACAACUUGGCUGCUAUGAAAGUGAACAGUGUUAAUGCAUGAUCAGUGGUGUAUUCAUUCCGCCGAUUCUGUUGAAAAAAGUUUCUUAAACGGAAGCAAACGGAACAAAACGGGUAAAACAUACCUGAAUUUGUCCAAUACAAACUCUCGUUUGCAACUGUUGUACCAAUGAUUACACCCUACAUCAACUAGAUGCAGGCAAGAUCGUGCAAGGCAGUAUUGAAUGUCACUAUCUGUCCAUGUGUCACUGUCCCCUCAAAUUUGUCUCUUGACCUGUGUUCACCUACAUUGUAAACUUUCAUUCAUAGGCUAGGUUGUAGCAACCUGAUGGGUAGAGGGAAAAUUAGAGUAUCAUGUACUAGCCUAAACUUAUUGCUGUUACAUUGAACUGGG
Molecule: long non-coding RNA, 1148 nt
Filed under: Salmo salar (Atlantic salmon)
Lineage: Eukaryota; Metazoa; Chordata; Actinopteri; Salmoniformes; Salmonidae
Description: lncRNA (ENSSSAG00000084878.1, ENSSSAG00020074960.1, ENSSSAG00075059058.1)
Source: RNAcentral